GCAGAAGAUGAAGAUGAGCAUGGUGAGACUCUUUGUGGGAGCUGUGGAGGGACUUACAGUGCUGAUGAGUUUUGGAUAGGUUGUGAUGUAUGCGAGAGGUGGUACCAUGGGAAAUGUGUGAAGAUAACACCAGCCAAGGCGGAAAUGAUCAAGCAGUACAUAUGCCCUUCAUGCAGCACCAAGAAGCGAAGGCCGUAACAGCCAAACGAAAAGAAACGCUUGGGGAGGUGGUUAACCUCACUGUUUUGCUCACUGAUGUUAUCGUAAAUCACUGAUAGUUAAUCCUUUUUGAUUUCCUUGUUCCUUUUCAUCUUGCUAUCAUAGUUUUU
Molecule: unclassified non-coding RNA, 329 nt
Filed under: Hevea brasiliensis (rubber tree)
Lineage: Eukaryota; Viridiplantae; Streptophyta; Magnoliopsida; Malpighiales; Euphorbiaceae
Source: RNAcentral